UGAUGAGCGGAAGGGAACUGAGUAAGAUGGCCAAAGAUCACAGCCAUUGUUACCGCAUCUUUGGAUGAAGAGGAAUCGGCGGAAUCAGACAAGUUGCAUUGCGUGAAAGAUGCCAUAGAAAGUAUUUUAUCGGGAUGAAUCACAGCACCGUUUGGGAACAGCUCCAUCCAAGACUGCAAGAAAUUGCCAAGGGUUGUGCACGUAGCCCACACCAUCACGCAAACCAACCUCCUUUCCAGUGACUCCAUCUACACUUCAUGCUGCCAUGGCAAGGCCUCCAAGGUAAACAAGGACAAGUCUCAUCCUGGUCACGCCGUGGUCUCCACUCUCCCACGAGGCAAGAGGUACAGAUGUUUGAAAGCAUAUUAUUCCAGAUUCAGGAACAUUUCUUCCCAGCUGUUAUAAAGCAACUGAAUUGUCCUCUCACCAACUAGACGGCAGUCCUGACUUCUCAUCUACCUCACUGGAGACCAUUGAACUAUCUUUAAUUGGACUUUAGUGAACCUUAUCUUGCAAUAAACAUUAUACUAUUAAUCCUGUAUCGGUACAAUGUGGACGGCUUGAUUGUAAUUAUGUAUGUGUAGGAUGGAACUGCAGAUGCUGGUUUAAAUUGAAGAUAGACACAAAAUGCUGGAGUACGACAGUGGGACAGGCAGCAUCUCCGUAGAGAGGGAAUGAUUCGAGACCCAUCUUCAGACUCAUUUAGUUUAAUUUAGUUUAGAGAUAUAGCGCGGAAACAGGCCCUUCGGCCCACUGGGUCCGUGCCGACCAGCGGACAUUAACACUAUCCUACGCCCACUGGGGACAAUUUUUCAUUUACCAAGCCAAUUAACCUACAAACCUGUACUUCAUUAGAGUGUUGAAGGAAACGGAAGAUAUCAGAGAAAACCCACGCAGAUCAUGGAGUACAAACUCCAUACAGACUGCACCCGUAGUCGGAAUCGAACCCAGGUCUCUGGCGCUGCAUUCGCUGUCAGGCAACAACUCUACCGUUGUGCCACCGGGACUGCCCUGUAAGGCAGCAAGGCGUACAGUACACUCGUGUAUAGUCUUUUCGCUGACUGGAUAACACACAACAUAAAGCUUUUCACUUUACUCGGUACACGUGACAAUAAUAAACUAAACUAAACAAAAACCAAUUACAUCUGGUCUGAACGUUUAAAAUUUUAAAGUUAGUACCAUUGAAGGUUAGGUAGAUGGUAUUUAUAAUAAAUGAAGCUCUCUUUAAACAUGUGUAAGAAAUACUUGUUUUUUAAAUAUUUGUAUCUAUUAUUAUGUAUGUAUACAUGUAUUUUUACUAGAGAAAUUUUACCAGGAAGGUAAUAUCAAGGAAGAAACAAAAACAUGUGAUCUAUAUAAAGGGCAAGAGGAUGACAAAGGGACUAAAAGAAUAACCCAUGUGCGGCUGCAUAGCUAAAGUAACAUUCUAAAGGGAUACCUUGUUACUUUAUUUACAAAGGAGA
Leucoraja erinaceus (little skate) is the source of this 1463-nucleotide long non-coding RNA. RefSeq lists it as uncharacterized. The transcript has 3 exons. The record is from RefSeq and is a predicted model, not a curated record. Lineage: Eukaryota; Metazoa; Chordata; Chondrichthyes; Rajiformes; Rajidae.